RNAcentral lists this ribosomal RNA (253 nucleotides) under uncultured bacterium. RNAcentral's name for it is "partial 16S ribosomal RNA". It matches the Rfam family "Bacterial small subunit ribosomal RNA", at positions 524 to 776 of the family's 1533-position model. The record is from RNAcentral.
UACGGGGGGGGCAAGCGUUGUUCGGAAUUACUGGGCGUAAAGGGCGCGUAGGCGGCCUGCUAAGUCGGACGUGAAAUCCCUCGGCUCAACCGAGGAACUGCGUCCGAUACUGGUGGGCUUGAAUCCGGGAGAGGGAUGUGGAAUUCCAGGUGUAGCGGUGAAAUGCGUAGAUAUCUGGAGGAACACCGGUGGCGAAGGCGGCAUCCUGGACCGGUAUUGACGCUGAGGAGCGAAAGCGUGGGGAGCGAACAGG